GACGAACGCUGGCGGCGUGCUUAACACAUGCAAGUCGAACGGAAAGGCCCUGCUUUUGUGGGGUGCUCGAGUGGCGAACGGGUGAGUAACACGUGAGUAACCUGCCCUUGACUUUGGGAUAACUUCAGGAAACUGGGGCUAAUACCGGAUAGGAGCUCCUGCUGCAUGGUGGGGGUUGGAAAGUUUCGGCGGUUGGGGAUGGACUCGCGGCUUAUCAGCUUGUUGGUGGGGUAGUGGCUUACCAAGGCUUUGACGGGUAGCCGGCCUGAGAGGGUGACCGGCCACAUUGGGACUGAGAUACGGCCCAGACUCCUACGUUAGGCAGCAGUGGGGAAUAUUGCACAAUGGGCGGAAGCCUGAUGCAGCAACGCCGCGUGCGGGAUGACGGCCUUCGGGUUGUAAACCGCUUUCGCCUGUGACGAAGCGUGAGUGACGGUAAUGGGUAAAGAAGCACCGGCUAACUACGUG
This 468-nucleotide ribosomal RNA is filed under the name uncultured bacterium. RNAcentral describes it as "partial 16S ribosomal RNA". It matches the Rfam family "Bacterial small subunit ribosomal RNA", at positions 28 to 507 of the family's 1533-position model. The record is from RNAcentral.